UAAGGAAUAUUGGUCAAUGGACGCAAGUCUGAACCAGCCAUGCCGCGUGGAGGAUGAAGGUCCUCUGGAUUGUAAACUUCUUUUAUCUGGGACGAAAAAAGGGUUUUCUAACUCGUCUGACGGUACCAGAUGAAUAAGCACCGGCUAACUCCGUGCCAGCAGCCGCGGUAAUACGGAGGGUGCAAGCGUUAUCCGGAUUCACUGGGUUUAAAGGGUGCGUAGGCGGGCAAUUAAGUCCGUGGUGAAAUACCUGAGCUUAACUUGGGAACUGCCAUGGAUACUAUUUGUCUUGAAUGUCGUGGAGGUUAGCGGAAUAUGUCAUGUAGCGGUGAAAUGCUUAGAUAUGACAUAGAACACCUAUUGCGAAGGCAGCUAACUACGCGAAUAUUGACGCUGAGGCACGAAAGCGUGGGGAUCAAA
This 420-nucleotide ribosomal RNA is filed under the name uncultured bacterium. Its description in RNAcentral is "bacterial SSU rRNA". It matches the Rfam family "Bacterial small subunit ribosomal RNA", at positions 355 to 772 of the family's 1533-position model. The record is from RNAcentral.